GGUGGCUCAGUGGUAGAGUCCUUGCCUUGCACGCAGGAGGCCCUGGGUUUGAUUCCUCAGCACCA
Molecule: transfer RNA, 65 nt
Filed under: Dipodomys ordii (Ord's kangaroo rat)
Lineage: Eukaryota; Metazoa; Chordata; Mammalia; Rodentia; Heteromyidae
Rfam family: tRNA
About the family: Transfer RNA (tRNA) molecules are approximately 80 nucleotides in length.
Source: Rfam by way of RNAcentral